AUGAUUAUUCGUUCGCUUGAGCCAGAAGUAAAAAAAUUUAUGGACAGGGAUCCUGUAAAAACAUCUUUUGAGGAAUGGGCCAGACACGGCCAUUUGUCAAGAACACUAGCUAAGGGCCCUGAUACUACCACUUGGAUCUGGAACCUACAUGUUGAUGCUCACGAUUUUGAUAGUCAUAUUGGUGAUUUGGAGGAGAUUUCUCGAAAAGUCUUUAGUGCUCAUUUCGGGUAACUUUCCAUUUUCUUUCUUUGGUUGAGUGGCAUGUACUUUCAUGGCGCCCGUUUUUCCAAUUAUGAAGCAAGGCUAAGUGAUCCUACUCACAUUAGACCCAGUGCUCAGGUAGUUUGGCCUAUAGUAGGGUAAGAAAUAUUGAAUGGUGAUGUAGGUGGGGGUUUCCGAGGAAUCCAAAUAACCUCUGAUUUUUUUCAGCUUUGGCGAGCAUCUGUAAUAACUAGUGAAUUACAACUCUAUUGUACUGCAAUUGGUGCAUUGAUUUUUGCAACGUUAAUGUUUUUUGCUGGUUGGUUCCAUUAUCACAAAGCCGCUCCCAAAUUGGCCUGGUUCCAAGAUGUAGAAUCCAUGUUGAAUCACCACUUAGCGGGAUUAUUAGGACUUGGGUCUCUUUCUUGGGCGGGGCACCAAAUUCAUGUAUCUUUAACAAUUAACAAAUUUCUUGACGCUGGGGUGGAUCCUAAAGAGAUACCACUUCCUCAUGUAUUUAUCUUGAAUCGGGACCUUUUGGCUCAACUUUAUCCUAGUUUUGUCGAAGGAGCAACCCCUUUUUUCACUUUAAAUUGGUCCAAAUACGUAGAAUUUCUGACUUUUCGCGGAGGACUAGAUCCAGUAACCGGUGGUCUCUAGCUGACCGAUAUUGCGCACCAUCAUUUAGCUAUUUCUAUUCUUUUCCUAAUCGCAGGUCAUAUGUAUAGGACCAAUUGGGGUAUUGGCCAUGGACUUAAAGAUAUUUUGGAGGCUCACAAGGGCCCAUUUACAGGACAAGGCCAUAAGGGUCUUUAUGAAAUCUUAACAACGUCAUGGCAUGCUCAAUUAUCUCUUAACCUAGCAAUGCUAGGCUCUACAACCAUUGUUGUAGCUCAUCAUAUGUAUUCUAUGCCUCCCUAUCCAUACCUAGCUACUGACUAUGGUACACAACUUUCCUUGUUCAGAAACCACAUGUGGAUUGGCGGAUUUCUAAUAGUCGGUGCUGCUGCACAUGCAGCAAUUUUUAUGGUAAGAGACUAUGAUCCAACUAAUUGAUACAACGAUCUAUUAGAUCGCAUCCUUAGACACCGCGAUGCAAUCAUAUCCCACCUUAACUGGGUAUGUAUAUUUCUAGGUUUUCAUAGUUUUGGCUUGUACAUUCAUAAUGAUACCAUGAGUGCUUUAGGCCGUCCACAAGAUAUGUUUUCGGAUACUGCCAUACAAUUACAACCUAUCUUUGCUCAAUGGAAUAUCCAUGCUACUGUGCCUGGCGUAACAGCUCCUAGUGCAACAACAAGUACUAGCUUAACGUGGGGAGGCAGCGAGUUAGUAGCAGUAGGUGGCAAAGUGGCUUUGUUACUUAUUCCAUUAGGAACCGUAGAUUUUUUAGUCCAUCACAUUCAUGCAUUUACCAUACAUGUGACUGUAUUAAUACUUUUGAAAGGUGUUUUGUUUGCUCGAAGCUCCCGUUUGAUACCCGAUAAAGCAAAUCUAGGUUUUUGCUUUCCUUGCGAUGGGCCUGGCCGAGGGGGAACAUGUCAAGUAUCCUCCUGGGAUCAUGUUUUCUUAGGUUUAUUCUGGAUGUACAAUGCAAUUUCGGUAGUCAUUUUCCAUUUCAGUUGGAGAAUGCAGUUGGAUGUUUGGGGUACUAUAAGUGAUCAAGGGGUGGUAACUCAUAUUACAAGGGGAAACUUUGCACAGAGUUCCAUUACAAUUAAUGGGUGGCUUCAAGAUUUCUUGUGGGCACAGGCAUCGCAAGUCAUUCAGUCUUAUGGUUCUUCAUUAUCUGCAUAUGGUCUUUUUUUCUUAGGUGCUCAUUUUGUCUGGGCCUUCAGUUUAAUGUUUUUAUUCAGCGGCCGUGGUUAUUGGCAAGAACUCAUUGAAUCUAUCGUUUGGGCUCAUAACAAAUUAAAAGUUGCUCUUGCUACUUAGCCUAGAUCCUUGAGCAUUAUACAAGGACACGCAAGAAAAUAG
This 2175-nucleotide ribosomal RNA is filed under the name Triticum aestivum (bread wheat). Its description in RNAcentral is "partial small subunit ribosomal RNA". Lineage: Eukaryota; Viridiplantae; Streptophyta; Magnoliopsida; Poales; Poaceae. The record is from RNAcentral.